This is a long non-coding RNA of Medicago truncatula (barrel medic), 608 nucleotides long. RefSeq lists it as uncharacterized. The transcript has 2 exons. NCBI's taxonomy places the organism in Eukaryota, Viridiplantae, Streptophyta, Magnoliopsida, Fabales, Fabaceae. The record is from RefSeq and is a predicted model, not a curated record.
UUAAAAUGAGAGGAUGAGAGCAUGAAAUAGUGGCCAUUGGAUUAAAUAGAUGGUUGUUAUUAAAUGUUAGCUUUGAAUGACUCACGUGACAUCUCUUCUCACCUUUCUAACAUACGAUUCUUCUUCUCACAUAAACGUUUCUUCUCACCUUUCUGAGUUCUCACUCCUCUUGUCACACAAACACAAGAUUCUUUCUGUCACACAAAUUUGAUAAUCAGAAUUUGUUAAUCCUCUUCUUCCUUUCGAACCAACGAUUAUAUAUUAUGGUACACUUUGCAAGGAAAAUUGAAAAGGCACUUUGGUUGGAAAAUUUGAGUUACUGUUAUGUCUAGACAACAAGAAAAGAAGAAGAAGAAGAAGAAGAAGAAGAAAGAAUUUUCAUUUAGAAUAUGCAUACAUGUAGAUACUGUAUAUACAAAUUUUGCAUUGGUUGUAUAUACAAAUUUGAGUUUUGAUUUUGGUGGAGAGGAGCCCUUUGUUUUAAAGCCCUCCUUAAUUGUACUUUUUUUACAACAUCAAAUGUAAUUUCUAUUUUGUGGUAAUUCAAUUCACAUUUGUAUUGUAAAGCAAAUUAUAUACUAUAUGAAAUUGGUAUUCAUUGUUGGUUA